RNAcentral lists this ribosomal RNA (144 nucleotides) under Salmonella enterica subsp. enterica serovar Potsdam. RNAcentral's name for it is "partial 23S ribosomal RNA". It matches the Rfam family "Bacterial large subunit ribosomal RNA", at positions 2787 to 2925 of the family's 2925-position model. Lineage: Bacteria; Pseudomonadati; Pseudomonadota; Gammaproteobacteria; Enterobacterales; Enterobacteriaceae. RNAcentral also lists the same sequence under 6 other names. The record is from RNAcentral.
ACGAAACUUGCCCCGAGAUGAGUUCUCCCUGAGACUUUAGGUCUCCUGAAGGAACGUUGAAGACGACGACGUUGAUAGGCCGGGUGUGUAAGCGCAGCGAUGCGUUGAGCUAACCGGUACUAAUGAACCGUGAGGCUUAACCUU